Molecule: transfer RNA, 74 nt
Filed under: Gemmobacter caeni
Lineage: Bacteria; Pseudomonadati; Pseudomonadota; Alphaproteobacteria; Rhodobacterales; Paracoccaceae
Description: tRNA-Arg
Rfam family: tRNA
About the family: Transfer RNA (tRNA) molecules are approximately 80 nucleotides in length.
Source: RNAcentral
GCCCACGUAGCUCAGCUGGAUAGAGCGCCUGGCUACGAACCAGGAGGCCGGAGGUUCGACUCCUUCCGUGGGCG